AAAGAACUAGUUAAAGUAUAACGUAGAUUUGUCAAGUCUGUAUUACCUUGUGGUGUUCUUUU
RNAcentral lists this transfer RNA (62 nucleotides) under Rectidens sumatrensis. RNAcentral describes it as "tRNA-Asp". The record is from RNAcentral. Lineage: Eukaryota; Metazoa; Mollusca; Bivalvia; Unionida; Unionidae.